RNAcentral lists this long non-coding RNA (1093 nucleotides) under Cyanistes caeruleus (blue tit). RNAcentral describes it as "lncRNA (ENSCCEG00000011292.1)". Lineage: Eukaryota; Metazoa; Chordata; Aves; Passeriformes; Paridae. The record is from RNAcentral.
AACAGAGUUGCUGGGUACAUGGACCACAGUUUGCUCCACACUCUCCUCCCAGGAUCACUGCUCAAGUCAGAAGGGCAAGAUAUUUGCAGUUGGCAAAGCUUUUAGUGGCAUCUUCAAUUAAAUCAGUGUAUCUCUCCUAAUUCCAUUUCCCAUUGCACUAAAACCCCCCUACCAGUAGAUGAUGAUGCUUUUCAAACCAUUAGACCAUAUUAAAAGUUUAAUCUGGAUAAUAUGUAAAACCAGUAACAGAAUCAAAGUUCAAUAAAAUCUAGGCAUGGUUUCAGACUAAUGUAAAACAAGACAAAAUUAGGCUGUGAUAUAAUUUUAAGGCUAACCUGGAGGGAGAUCUUGUCAGGAACUGUGGUAUAAAGUGGCUGUGGUAUUAGAUCAGCUAUAGUAAUACCUUUUUUUUUCCAGUGAAACCACUUGGGAAAUAAUCUUCCUUUGGGGAAGAAUCUGUUUUGGGGCAUCUGUAUAGAUCUGAGAAGGGAGACAGUAUUGGUUUUGAAACUUGAAAUCACUGUGGACUAGUCCUGUCAUCGGUUGUAUUAAUAAUACAGACUUUCACUUGAAGAAACUUCAAGUAUAUCUGUCGUUCACUUGGCUGGGGACAAGUCUCUGAGAUGCACCAAGAUGUACAGAUCCUCUGGGCAGAAUGUGAACAACCAGUUUGGAAAGCAGCAUCACACAGCGUCAAGUGAGCGUGACGCAUGCUCUGCUCUGCUGAGGCCCACAGAACAUAUGUUGAUGUACGGGCUGGGAGCCCUCUGUUCCUCUUCUCUACACGGCCAGCAGACAUCGCCUUCCUCUGUGCGUGCUGGCACUCUGGCCCUCGUCUUCGAGGGUGUGGUGACGUGGAGGCGAUGACGGAGCCAAGGCUUCUGAAGCACAUAUCUUCAGAGAGCUGCUGCUCACAGGAGAAGUUAAUAUACAUCAGGUAAAUCUGCGGCUGUAAAUGAAACCUUGGGACUCUUCCUCAGCCGUGACUAAUCCUGUGCACACUGUGACUCAGCUGGUGAAGCAUUUAUCAGGAGAGCUCCCAGAGCACUCAGCUAUAAGCCUGUAAAUAAAAAUAUCUUGUCUUCUUGUAGCA